AGAGUUUGAUCCUGGCUCAGAUUGUACGCUGGCGGCAUGCCUUGCACAUGCAAGUCGAACGGCAGCACGGGUGCUUGCACCUGGUGGCGAGUGGCGAACGGGUGAGUAAUGCACCGGAACGUACCCAGUAAUGGGGGAUGACACAUCGAAAGAUGUGCUAAUACCGCAUACGCCCUGAGGGGGAAAGCGGGGGAUCGUAAGGCCUCGCGUUAUUGGAGCGGCCGAUGCCGGAUUAGCUAGUUGGUGAGGUAAGAGCUCACCAAGGCGACGAUCCGUAGCUGGUCUGAGAGGACGACCAGCCACACUGGGACUGAGACACGGCCCAGACUCCUACGGGAGGCAGCAGUGGGGAAUUUUGGACAAUGGGCGCAAGCCUGAUCCAGCCAUGCCGCGUGAGUGAAGAAGGCCUUCGGGUUGUAAAGCUCUUUCGCAAGGAAAGAAAACUUAUCUACUAA
This 455-nucleotide ribosomal RNA is filed under the name uncultured bacterium. Its description in RNAcentral is "bacterial SSU rRNA". It matches the Rfam family "Bacterial small subunit ribosomal RNA", at positions 8 to 463 of the family's 1533-position model. The record is from RNAcentral.